This is a long non-coding RNA of Nannospalax galili (Upper Galilee mountains blind mole rat), 1599 nucleotides long. RefSeq lists it as uncharacterized. The transcript has 4 exons. NCBI's taxonomy places the organism in Eukaryota, Metazoa, Chordata, Mammalia, Rodentia, Spalacidae. The record is from RefSeq and is a predicted model, not a curated record.
CAGUUUGGAAGAAAGAAGAUGCAAAAGAGGAUCCUGGGUUGGCUGAAACCAGUGCCACCACCAUUUAACUAAUGUCUGCCCUGGGCCAGAUAACCAUCACUGACUAGGCCCCUGGGAUAUCGUCUGUGCUCUUCCUCGCUCUGCUCUGUGCCCUGGGACUUGAUCAAUCUACAUCAUGGAGCAUGAAGCUCCCUAGACCUUUGGUUCUGGUUAGAAACAGAACAAGGGAUCUAGAGUACUUCACCUCCUUGGUCUUACUCUGCCCAUGGGUGCCUUUCCGGUUCUCUAACAAAAUGAAGAAACAGUCUGAAAACUAGGAAACCUGGACCCUAAUAUGCCAGUCUCAUCGAUGACCUAUGCAAAGUCAGCACAUGCUGGGUUCCAUGUCUUCAUCUGAAAACUAAGAAAAUUGGAGCAUCAUCUUGUACUGUCGUACCGUUCUGGGACUUGGCUAACUCAUCAACGUCUCACAAGAUGGUUAUUCUGAAAAGGUCAGCACUGUGCCAACCCUCCCACAGCCUCUUCUUAGGGGAUCCACCCUACCCACAUUUUCUACUGAAGGGACAGGCCCAGGAAGCCACGUGUGGUACCAAGUGCUCCACCUUCACUGUUAACAGAUUAUUGGCCCUCACUGAGGAACCCAAGCCAAUGGCAGGCAACCCACAGGCUGGUCAAAGAGUUACAACCCACAGUGAGAAAUAGGCUAGACCAGACUCAGUCUUAGGACACUGAACUUGAAACACAAACUGCCAUCCAUUAGUUCCAGGACCAGCAGAGGAUGUGCUGUUUUGCCUAAUCACAGAAGUUAAAAAACAAAACAAAAAACAAACAAACCCCAUAAGCUGCACCUUCUGAAGGCCUGGAAGCCCCUUGGAAUCUGGAACCACCUCUAAGUUCUGGUAUCCUGAGGUCAAGAUUUAACGUUAACCCCUGCUCUUAGGUUUCCAUGAAUAUGGCUUUAUCAUUAAAAAAAAUAGCAUGAUAUAACAUAAGGCAAAACCUGUUGUCUUGGACAGAUUCUUGUACUUUGCAAGAAAACAAGCCCUGUUAAACCCAUGGGAAAUUAAAGCCUACUGCCAACUGAACUGCUGGGCCAGAGGGCCUUCUGGAGAAAGCAACAGAAGUGAGCAGAAGUGAGACAGACCGGCAAUGUCCUAACCAUCACUAGGAAGACAAUAGGGACCAAAAAAAAAGAAAGAGAGAAAAAGACAAAAGGAACUGAAAGCCUUUCGAGAUGAUUUGGAAAGAUCACGUGUGCACUUCCCUGUUCAGUGUGCAGCAACUGUGAGCCAGCCAUGAUUGGAGAGGGUGUGGCCUUACUGAGGCGUCUCUCAUGAAUGAACUCCCACACACUAACGACCACCCUCAACUAGAUCAUGACGGCCUGCUGAUUAUGAUAUGCCAGAUGCACAGGAGCCACAAGUGAUGGAAGCAAAUUCACAAGAAAACAAAAUCCUAUUCAAAGCGUUCUCAGAAACAGGUGCUAGAUGGGGGUGUCUCUGGGGCUCUGGUUUUUGUUUCCAUUCAGCUUUGGAGAAAGAUGAUGCUACUCUAUUUUAAAAUGUAUGUCCCUAUACUGUGCAUUCUGAGUGUGACUAA